CCACGUUACUGAUGGAAGAACUAAAUGAGAAGACACCCAAAUAGACGCCUCCCAACGGCCGAACUGUUCUGACGCAUUCCCUAACUUACAGCCGGUGCGUAUCGCGGAAGCGGUCGAACUCCGCGGCGAGAAAACGACCUUAUCUUCUCCAGGCAGCCGAAGGUGAAAGGCAAAGUCGAUCGCUGCCGCAGAAAAUCGAAGGAGGUGCAUGGGCUACAGUACAACAAGUUAACAAGCACGUUUACAAUAGACUAUUGUCCUUAGAACGCGCGCUACAUGUUUCAAGUAACAUUUAGCUGGGAUUGAGCAUAUAAACUUUUCAGUUCUUUCAAUUAUUGGGCAAAUGUAGGCUAAUUCCCAAAUCCUAGCCUAUGUAGGAAAUUAUAGUAACAACUGAUAUCAAGUAUCAGACUGAUAUCAUGGAACAGCUUGUAAAAUUAAACAAAUGUAUAGUGGAUAUCGGAUUAGGCGACCACUUCUUUCUUUUGAACCGCAAGACAAUUUUUGCUCGAAAUACGUAAAUUAUAUUGUUGUCUACAGUUAGCCUAUGCAUCGCGGUAAUUUUAGAACGUGAUGUCACAUGGGGCAUUUAAAUCGUAAGAAGCCCAACAAGAGUGUUUGUGAAUGAAUUCGCUGUACGAGUUAAUCACGAGUCUCUCCUCUCCUCUCUAGUCCUUAGUCCUUUGUUGUGUAGCUACGUAGCUGCACUGAUUCGUGCCGUGAGGCAAGGUGACGUUAGGGCUUGGCAGCCCUGGACCCGGGCGUUUAGCAGACCAAUCUCUUAGAGCUCCAAUUUCUUCAAGGGUGUUUAAUAUUCAAGCCGUCAGCAUAGAGCUGCAUUCAUAUCCGAAAUGCUGACAGCUGAACAAGAUGGAAGAGCUUUGAAGAGCAAUAUAAAGCACUGCCAGAGGUUAGGAAAAAAGGAUAAAACAGCCUAUAAUUAAACUACAUGCACAUUGCUCUUGAUGGCAUUUUUUCUCUCAAACGAGCAAAGUGAAUACCUUUCACCCCUGUACAGCAAUCGGGUAAAAUACAAGGUAAUGAUUUGGUGGAUGGGCUUCAAAGUUGUGAAAGAAAACCAGUUGAGUUCUGGAAAAGGAACACAGACACAAAGUUUUGGCCCCAUUUCUAUAUAAUAUCUAGGUCACAAUUAUUUUUAGUCAUAGUUGCUCUGUGUUCAAGACAAUAUAUAAAAGUUAGCUACAGUACACACAUUCACAUUGGCCAUUUGAUUGCAUACUUAGGUUUGCUGCUGUCAUUUUCCUCGGAGAACUACAACUCCUGAAACAGAACUACAGUGUCUUGAUUCUGCAGUUCAAAGUUCACACUGGACAACUGAUUUACAUACAUGCGAAUUACAUGCUAAUUUCCACCACCACUUGGUAGUCUUAGGCAGUGUCAUAUCUGCAUACUUUGGCAAACCUCGUAAAAUUGUCUUGGGGCUGCUCAAACUUGUUUUUUUAAAAUUGAGCUGUGAUGAGAACGAUAAAGUAACUUGCACGAAAAGCUUAUACUUAAUUAUGAGUUUUAUGUCUGUAUUAUUACAACUUUAAAUUGUGUGGCUAUAGUGUAUAUAUAUAUAUAUAUAUAUACACACAUUUGAUACUGGUCCAGGUGAUACACAGUAUGUAUACAGGAGUGAGGGAGUGUGCUCAUCACUAUGCUCACAUUGACCAAAAUGAUCCGAAGUUUGAAUGGGCUUGAGAGAGAAACUGGAACACCCAUGCAUCGAUGUGAAUGACAAAGCAGGAAAGAGUUUACAUGGCACUUUAUUUUAGUUCAAUUAUAUCUAUGUGCAUAAGCAAGGUUUUUCAUAACAUUUCACAGAAUAGAGAUUUGUAUCCACGUUUUCUGUACUGAUCACAUUUUGAUUGAUAAAAAUAAUCACAAUACUCAACACUAUUGGUGCAGUGCAGCUGGUCGUUCUUAAAACAUCGGUCAUCAACAUUGGAGACAAACACAUUUUUUUUUAAAGCCUCGUAACUCUUUGUCUUAUAUUUUUAUUUUCCCAGUGGCUUACACAGCUAUAUACACACAAAGAAACUAAACCCCAGUUAUACCCAUGUUAAAAGUACCUAUGACUAAAUAAGCUGAUGAUAUAAUAAUAAAAACUAAAUGUAUAUAUUCUUAACAUUGACAUAGCGUUCGCUCUUAAUUACAAUGCAUUGUACCAUGAUUGAUCACAACUGGGGAGAAAUCGGUCCUGCAUGCUGGACUGGGCGAUACAGUUUGUUGGCCAGAACGCGGUGUCUAUCCAGCAAAUGGCCACAGGCCCAGAGGCUGAGAACGUCACAUGAUCCUGGAAGUCAGUGCUACCACGCCUGCUGCUGCCCUCAGAAAGAAAAAAACGGGGUGUUAAUUUCGACUCGACUGGCAUCCCGUUAACCUGCAAGUUCACCGAUCAAGGCGGGCGAUCGGUGUCCUCGUACUAAUGAGCCGUGGUAGAGAAACACGGCACGCCUGCGAACAGCCAGGAAAAGGGACAGUUUCGUCCACAAACAGACGCCGGAACAGGUGAGUAAUAAUACAUUUUGGGUCCGGAAUGCGAAAAAACGGAUUGGAGCGGGUUUUAAAAACGAUUACAGCUCCCGGCAACAGAGACCGCUCUGAAAUAAACGACUUGUGACACACUAAAACGAUGGAACAGAAGCAGAUUAAAAAGGAAGCCCAGCACCGACAGAACCCAGGAAACAUGAGCCUGCUCGAAGUUGGAAGAGCGAGGAUCGUCAGCACGACGAAUGAAAAUGGCCACUGAACUCCCCAUGGUAGCAGCAAAUCUACGGCCAGAUGCCGGAAGAAGUCAACAGCCCGCAAUAAUGUAACAAGUGACGAGUCAUCAUGGUGCAAUGCCGGAACAGCUCUUGUAAAGUUUCCUUGUUUUAAUUUCCUUGUUUUUUGUUCUCGCCAUGUCCUUUGCUAGAGCCACAGGGGUGUGGAGAACUUCCAGUCGGCAAAAGCCCAACAGCCCAUUUUAACUUUUGCAAUUACAAUUUAAAUAAUACUAAAAUGACUACUGAUCCGAACAGCAACCGCGAUUCCUUUCAAUCAGGGACUGAUACGUUUUGUUUUGUUUAGCUUACAAACUUAAAUAAACUUUCUGCCAGCAUGAUUUCAUUGUGCCCAUUAUUUCAGUGUAAUUUCCCGAAUAACAGGAGGUAGCGCAAAACCAGGAAAGCCGAAACAAAGUUACUGAAAGCUUUGUUGUUGUUUAACAUUGAGAUUCUUGAAACUGGGGGAACAGAGAGAGGGUUUGCCCCAGCCCUUUCUCACACACACACACACACACAUACCCCUUUCCUUUCUGAGAAUAUACUAUGAUUCCCCCAACCCCAAAGCGUACAUCAUUUACAAAGAGUUUGAUGAUUUCUUGUGCAAAUAAAAAAACCAGUGGGGGUUCCUGAGUAAUCUGCCCUCAUACAUAUUCAAACAGGAAUGUGGGUUUUAUUUUGUAUCAUUCUAACUACAGCCCACUGUAAAAUGUAUAGCUUUCUUAGCCACAGUUUUAAAGCCAGUUGUUUCAUAUACUGUAGCUAUCAACUAGCAGGCCAGCCAACUCAAUGAAAAACAUUUCGCAUUUAUAAUUCUAAGGAAAUUAAACUGACUUUUUUUUCCUUUUAAACCUGAAAUAACCAACUUUUGUGACAGGUGUAUAUUUUAAAAUUUAGAGAAUCACAGAAAUACAGCUGGUUUUUUUUU
Molecule: long non-coding RNA, 3696 nt
Organism: Anguilla rostrata (American eel)
Lineage: Eukaryota; Metazoa; Chordata; Actinopteri; Anguilliformes; Anguillidae
Exons: 2
Source: RefSeq, a predicted model, not a curated record